AGUGAACGCUGGCGGUAGGCCUAACACAUGCAAGUCGAACGGCAGCACAGUAAGAGCUUGCUCUUACGGGUGGCGAGUGGCGGACGGGUGAGGAAUACAUCGGAAUCUACUUUUUCGUGGGGGAUAACGUAGGGAAACUUACGCUAAUACCGCAUACGACCUACGGGUGAAAGCAGGGGAUCUUCGGACCUUGCGCGAUUGAAUGAGCCGAUGUCGGAUUAGCUAGUUGGCGGGGUAAAGGCCCACCAAGGCGACGAUCGGUAGCUGGUACGAGAGGAUGAUCAGCCACACUGGAACUGAGACACGGUCCAGACUCCUACGGGAGGCAGCAGUGGGGAAUAUUGGACAAUGGGCGCAAGCCUGAUACAGCCAUACCGCGUGGGUGAAGAAGGCCUUCGGGUUGUAAAGCCCUUUUGUUGGGAAAGAAAAGCAGCAGGUUGAUACCCCGCUGUUCUGACGGUACCCAAAGAAUAAGCACCGGCUAACUUCGUG
RNAcentral lists this ribosomal RNA (492 nucleotides) under uncultured bacterium. Its description in RNAcentral is "partial 16S ribosomal RNA". It matches the Rfam family "Bacterial small subunit ribosomal RNA", at positions 29 to 507 of the family's 1533-position model. The record is from RNAcentral.